This 500-nucleotide ribosomal RNA is filed under the name uncultured bacterium. Its description in RNAcentral is "partial 16S ribosomal RNA". It matches the Rfam family "Bacterial small subunit ribosomal RNA", at positions 30 to 523 of the family's 1533-position model. The record is from RNAcentral.
AUUGAACGCUGGCGGAAUGCUUUACACAUGCAAGUCGAACGGCAGCACGGACUUCGGUCUGGUGGCGAGUGGCGAACGGGUGAGUAAUGUAUCGGAACGUGCCCAGUCGUGGGGGAUAACGUAGUGAAAAUUACGCUAAUACCGCAUACGAUCUAUGGAUGAAAGCGGGGGAUCGCAAGACCUCGCGCGAUUGGAGCGGCCGAUAUCAGAUUAGGUAGUUGGUGGGGUAAAGGCCCACCAAGCCAACGAUCUGUAGCUGGUCUGAGAGGAAGACCAGCCACACUGGACCUGAGAAACGUACCAGACUCCUACGGGAGGCAGAAGUGGGAAAUUUUGGACAAUGGGCGAAAGCCGAAUCCAGCCAUUCCGCGUGCAGGAUGAAGGACCUCGGGUUGUAAACUGCUUUUGUACAGAACGAAAAGGUUUCUACUAAUACUAGGAGCUCAUGACGGUACUGUAAGAAUAAGCACCGGCUAACUACGUGCCAGCAGCCGCCGUAA